GCUCCCGUGGUGUAGCCCGGUUAAUCAUUUCGGCCUCUCGAGCCGAAGACUCGGGUUCAAAUCCCGACGGGAGCA
This 75-nucleotide transfer RNA is filed under the name Thermoplasmata archaeon. Its description in RNAcentral is "tRNA-Glu". It matches the Rfam family "tRNA". Rfam says of the family: Transfer RNA (tRNA) molecules are approximately 80 nucleotides in length. Their secondary structure includes four short double-helical elements and three loops (D, anti-codon, and T loops). The record is from RNAcentral. Lineage: Archaea; Methanobacteriati; Thermoplasmatota; Thermoplasmata.